GGCCCCGGGGGCUCGGAACAGCUGCCCACUCUCCCCAGCAGCCAGCAUGGAAGCACCGGUGGCAGAAUAUUAACUAUCAAUUUCUGGGCAAGAGGAAGAGACAUCUAGUUCCCCUGCGCCCGUGAGAGCCGGGAUCUGGGGAGUCCAGCUUCAGGUUCAUCACAUGAAGGUCCCGAGG
Molecule: long non-coding RNA, 178 nt
Filed under: Suricata suricatta (meerkat)
Lineage: Eukaryota; Metazoa; Chordata; Mammalia; Carnivora; Herpestidae
Description: lncRNA (ENSSSUG00005008587.1)
Source: RNAcentral